This 429-nucleotide ribosomal RNA is filed under the name Chloroflexota bacterium. RNAcentral's name for it is "Chloroflexi bacterium partial 16S ribosomal RNA". It matches the Rfam family "Bacterial small subunit ribosomal RNA", at positions 355 to 776 of the family's 1533-position model. The record is from RNAcentral. Lineage: Bacteria; Bacillati; Chloroflexota.
UGGGGAAUAUUGCACAAUGGGCGCAAGCCUGAUGCAGCCAUGCCGCGUGUAUGAAGAAGGCCUUCGGGUUGUAAAGUACUUUCAGUCGGGAGGAAGGUGUCAAGGUUAAUAACCUUAUCAAUUGACGUUACCGACAGAAGAAGCACCGGCUAACUCCGUGCCAGCAGCCGCGGUAAUACGGAGGGUGCAAGCGUUAAUCGGAAUUACUGGGCGUAAAGCGCACGCAGGCGGUUUGUUAAGUCAGAUGUGAAAUCCCCGGGCUCAACCUGGGAACUGCAUCUGAUACUGGCAAGCUUGAGUCUCGUAGAGGGGGGUAGAAUUCCAGGUGUAGCGGUGAAAUGCGUAGAGAUCUGGAGGAAUACCGGUGGCGAAGGCGGCCCCCUGGACGAAGACUGACGCUCAGGUGCGAAAGCGUGGGGAGCAAACAGG